RNAcentral lists this ribosomal RNA (420 nucleotides) under Fusobacteriota bacterium. RNAcentral's name for it is "Fusobacteria bacterium partial 16S ribosomal RNA". It matches the Rfam family "Bacterial small subunit ribosomal RNA", at positions 355 to 776 of the family's 1533-position model. Lineage: Bacteria; Fusobacteriati; Fusobacteriota. The record is from RNAcentral.
UGGGGGAUAUUGCACAAUGGGCGAAAGCCUGAUGCAGCGACGCCGCGUGGGGGAUGAAGGCCUUCGGGUUGUAAACUUCUUUUGCUCUGAACAAGGCAUGCCUUUGGGGUGUGUUGAGUGUAGGGGUUGAUUAGCGCCGGCUAACUACGUGCCAGCAGCCGCGGUAAUACGUAGGGCGCGAGCGUUGUCCGGAAUUAUUGGGCGUAAAGGGCUUGUAGGUGGCUGGUUGCGUCUGUCGUGAAAGCUCAUGGCUUAACUGUGGGUUUGCGGUGGGUACGGGCUGGCUUGAGUGCAGUAGGGGAGACUGGAAUUCAUGGUGUAGCGGUGGAAUGCGCAGAUAUCAGGAGGAAUACCGGUGGCGAAGGCGGGUCUCUGGGCUGUUACUGACGCUGAGGAGCUAAAGCGUGGGGAGCGAACAGG